RNAcentral lists this long non-coding RNA (16591 nucleotides) under Brachypodium distachyon (stiff brome). Its description in RNAcentral is "long non-coding RNA (BDIS_LNC001806)". The stretch from base 9547 to 9682 matches the Rfam family "MIR1120/MIR1122 microRNA precursor family". The record is from RNAcentral. Lineage: Eukaryota; Viridiplantae; Streptophyta; Magnoliopsida; Poales; Poaceae.
GACAGCGCGAGAGAGGUCAAAGGAGUCGUCGAUCUGUCGGGGAGGGCGAGCCGGGGGAGGAGGCGACGAACGAACAGAAAUGGGUCAGGGUCCGAUACUGUGUACCACGUAUUUAUAAACUCCACGCUACAGCCGCUGCUGCUGAUAUUUUCCUUUUCCUCUUGAGCUGGUGUUUUCGUUUUAUACUCUACCGACCUGUUUGUUUGUCCUUCUAUUUCAGUUUUUUUGCAUCUGGCAAUCUUAAAAGCAUCUUUUCUGUUUACACGUGAAGCUGAGAGGCACCUCCGAACAUGCUAAACACUGUUUACACAUGAAGCUGAGAAGCACCUUCGGACGUGCUAAACAGAAAAAGUGCUUUUGAGAUUGCUAAAAGUACCAAAAACUGAAACAGAAGUCCAAACAAAUAGGCCCAGAGUCUGCUGGAUUGUGAAUUUGAAUACGCACACGGCGAAAUCAAAAUACGAAGUCAUGGCCACUAUGUUUAAAAUAAAAUUCGUGUACUUGGACAAAACAGAAGUUGUUCGGUGAAUAAAAAAACCCUAGAAAUGAUUUUCCGACGUAAUAAACGGUAUAAUAGUACUACUAGUAGUACGAGGGCUGCUGCAGCGGAGAUUAAAAAAAAACGGUGUUCGUUUUAGGUGAGCCAGGGAGAGCAUCUCUCCACGCGAAGGGAGCACACAAUUUAUGCAUGUGCAGAGAGAGAGAGCACGGAGAAGAACAACCUUUGGGUUUGCCUAAUUGCAACGGCCAACUUGUGACUUUGUGUUGUGCGCGCUCGUCGUGGAAGGAUCUCAGGCGAAAAGGAAGGUGGGGGAAAGCUCGAUUAUUCUCCGCAGCUUCAAUCCCACGCUAAGCCGCCUGGUCGAAAAGGUUUGGCUGGCCAAACCGGUUUUGCAUGGUACUCCGUAACAUGUUUUUCAAGUUUUUUAGAACUUUGGAGGAACUCGAAACAAAUUGAGAGCAUACGCUUUCUAAGAGUUGAAAAGUAUUAUUUUCGAAGCACGGGCAGUCGGGCACGGGCAUCAGAGCAUCUCCGUUGCCAGUCGCUCGAAGCGAAGAGAAAUCACGCACUUCCUCUGCUACCGAAGCGAAGGCAGGAACAAGAACAACAGCGACGAGACACAGCCAGAAAUUCGGCAUAGUAUUUGCUCAGGGCUAGAUUCCACUGUAUUCGCUGUAAUCUGGUAAAGCAUGUCGCAUGUGCCCAGACUACAGGAGGAUUUCAAGACAAGUAUCCAGUCCUGUCUUAUUUACAACAGAUAGCGUGCAAAACUAUGCUCAAGAAUCAAGAUAGAUAAAUAACACUGGAUUUCCCCAGUACUUGCUACUUCACCGAACUACGGAGUACAACUGGUAAAGAAUAGUUUCACAAGUCGGAUCCUGAGAUCACAAUGAAAGAGAAGAUACAACAGGGAGUAUUAAAUCUGCACAUGAUCACAAGGAAAUCCAGAUGCACAUGAAUCCAGACAAUAGGAAGAACAGGGAACAGUUUGACAUAUUUUUUCUAAUAAAACAGAAGGUCAGAGUUGCAUGCCUACAUUGUCAACAAAAUAAUAGAUGAAUUGCACGAACAUACCUCAACGACUCAAUGUCAACAUGGAUUUACACUAACAAUUUUUAGUCUUUGACCUUUCAUACUCUUCAGAAUUAAUUAUUACCAGACUAAAAACUACAAUGCACCUAAGAACACGAGCUUUCGCUUCAGAAUAUCCCAAGGAUGGUGGGGGCAGGUGGAGCACGCCAUCAUUGGAGAGCAAGAGCAACGCCAUGUCAUUAACUGAUCAUCUUCAAAUGAUAAUCUGUAGAAGAGACAAUGGACAAGAGUCAAUUGAUCGCUUCACCAAACAGUAACAUUACAAAUUUGCUAUACAGGCUCCAAACAAACUGAUUUUCUAUCAGUCUACGCUUAAACAUAGCAGUUAACAGGGGCAAAGCUUAACACAGGCCCAUCAGCAAUCAUGCAGAGAACAAGGCAAGGCAGAUCAUCCAUGGGAAUCACACAACAAUCCACAAGGAAGCAUGCAUUACAUUCUUUGGAAAGCCAAUCAAGAGAAAUCUGGGUUCAGCGAUCGGAAAGAUUUACAAUGGAUAAGAUAUGUCAAAAUUUCAGUACUGGAAACUUCAGUUACAAAGCAAUUUGAUAAAUCUUACAUGCCAAGACAAGUAUAGAAGAUAUAUCUUUAUAUAAUAAUACUGACUCGUAAUUGUUAGGCUUACAGCAAAAAAAAGGUUAAGUUUCAUUAAACAAGCUUAUUUAUCGGUCUCUGAGGAGCUGGGUUACCUGUAGAUAAAUGGGACCAGAAACUAAGAGGUUACCUGUUGACUCAAGCUUAUGCUUAUUUUGGCGAUACACGUACUCUUAGGCUGGACAUAAUUCACCCUAACGAUUCUCACUAAGACAUGAGAAAGGAAUUCUAGUACGGAAAGGAAGUGAAAACCAGCGCAUGUGCAUCCAAGUGACUCCUAGUGAAACAGCACAGAGAGUGUCCCAGAUCGAUUUUAACUCUGAGUCACCAAGUGGUUCGUCGGUAUCAAUUUGAUCCUAACAGAUUCCAGGCAAUACCAUCAUAUGUCACCCAGUCAUGAUUUCCAGGAAAAGAAUAUAAGUAUUUUCAUCAUACAGACAGAAUUGAAGAAAAACUAUUAUUAGACCAUACAUUAUGGUCUUUCAUUUGUCAUGACAAAAAUGUACUCCCUCCGAUCCAUAAAAGGUGACGCCCAUUUUGUACUAAGUUAGCACAAAUUUUGUACUAGGUGGGCGACACAUUUUAUGGAUCGGAGGGAGUAAUAAGAAACACUAAAAGCUCAAGAUAGAAACUAUGAUUAGUUAGUUCAAUCUUUUAAUAACACCUAUGACAUAACAGAGCUGCACAAUUAUAAUUCUGUAAAUUUUAUCACACCCAAAAACCCAGAGAACCAAACGAUAAGAUACAUAAGUACUUAAAUCUACAAUCAUAACGAGAUGGUCAACAUAUCUCAUCAAUGCACAAAAUUAAAUAGAAAAACACACGACGAAAACAUCCACCAAACAUUAUCUACUGAAGACACAAAAUAUAAAUAGAAUCUCACAAAGCCUACACCAGGAUAGAUCUUAUAUGUGAAUAUCAAUGCUCAACAGGACCGAAAGCCUUAUUUAUGAAGGUUAUCGCACAUUUGGGCUAAGGCCAUUGUAACAUAAAAUAGUCCAAAAUGCACAACAUAUGGGGUGGUCGGACUUCGGCAACGAAACUUCAGACAUACUCGCUAGAUUUUCCGAAGCAACAGUAUCUAAACUUUUUUGUUGCUAAUCCUCCGCAGCAACUCGAGCCAAUUGUUUACCAAGAUCCUUAUCGAGAUUAGCUAGAUUAUUAAACCUUGACUGUAGAUAAACGGACAUGUAUGUAACAUAUUGCUCAGAACAAUCAAGUCGGGCUCACCCAAGCUUGUUUACACCCAUAUGAAGGAAAGGCUUAUUGAAUUGCAUUGUCAGGAAAUCAGCACUUCCCCAAACAAACUGAAAGUACCUUUAUUCCACAACCUAUAAACAUCAAUGGAUAUACUCAGAACACAACAGCUUACAUGUGUGGACCUUCCCACCAUUAAGGCCAAACAUAGUAACAAUAAGUUCCACUUAUUAAAAUGUCAUUGUAUACAAGAAUGUCAGAUUAAAUUAUGCCUCUACACAAGCAUACCAAUCCUGUCACUAUCACUGAAAGUCUGAAACAUUAACUAACAGCCAACAUCAUGCCACAUAACUUGUAAUUUUAGCACAUCAACAUUAGCAUUACAGAAACAAUAGUAGCCACAGAUCACAUAAACGAACAAAAACAAUCUACAGCAAUGUUCUAAACUGAAAUGCUAAAACAUACUUUACCUAAAACCCUCGUCCGCAUCAGAGGUAAUUGGAGUUGGAAAGGAAAGGCAGCGCAGCAACGGAUGAAAUCAGCUCCACUCCACCAGCACCAUUGGAUGCAGCCCCUCCGCUCUUCUUCGUGCGCUUCACCCUUGCGAGCUUCACGUGCGCAUCGACGAAGUUCUCCAUGCGCUUCACCUCCAGCUGCUUCAGGAAGUCAAUUCGCUCGCGUUCCAUCUCUAGCGAAUGCUUUUGUUUCGCACUCUCCACGCGCUCAUACAUCUCUGCAAAAGCCUCAAUUGCCCUCGCCAGCUCGCUGACACCACUAUCCCCAUCACCGCCAGCCUCGCGACGAAAGGGACGCUUGUUGCUACCGCCGGAGCGCGCCGACGAGACAGAACGCGACGGUGACCUCCGCAAGUUGUCAUGGUGGUUGUUGUUGUUGUUACCACCAGGAUGAUCACCAGAGUCCUCCGAAUCAGACACCGCUGCAGCGGCGGCAGCGGCUUCCUGCUGGAUGAACGCAGCGGCAGGGAGCAGCGCCCCGCGGCGGUAGCUGGGGAGGGGCAGAGCCAUGGGCGGGGGCGGGGACGGCGAGGAAGAAGGCGACGGGUACUUCCUCGCGGCGGUAGAAGAAGGAUGGACGGGCAGGGCGAGGUGCGGGGCCAUCGCCGGCGAGGGCCGCUUGUUGGCGGCGGAGUUGAGGGUGGGGCCGACGAGUCGGUCGAGCUCGUCGAAGAAGCUCCAGCCCGACGGCGCGCCGCGGACGCGCUCGGCCUUGUACUUCUUCUUGAGGGUGUCGACGCGGUUCUUGCACUGCACGUCGGUGCGCGGCGGGCGGCGGCGCGCGGCGGCCCCGCGGCGCGAGUUGACGGCGUUGGCCACCUCCUGCCACUGCUUCUGGCGCAGGUUGCCGCGGUUGAGCUCCACGUAGCGGCUGCCCCACGCGUCCACCAGCGCCGCCGUCUCGCCCUCGCUCCAGCAGUCCUCCCGGUAGGGCAGGUUAGGGUUGGGCGGCGGCAGCCUCCCAAACCCUCCCCCUCCUCCUCCUCCCCCUCCUCCCGCCGCCGCCGCAGCAGCAGCCGCAGCCAUCUCCCUCACCUCCAUCGGAACCAGAUCUCGCAGGAGCAAACCCUAACCCUAGCUAGCCCGCCCGCCGAGAGAAGAGGACCGAGCGAGCCUCGGGGAAGUCGCGCGUGACGGUGGGCUAUGUGAGCGGUGGGGGGUUCGGGGUUGGAAUAAAAGGACACGGCGAGGGAAGGGGGGAGGUGGGGUCGCCGGCCGCGAGGGGUCCGGGUUCCGUCCGUCACGCACGCGGCACGUGACGCGUGACCGGCGAGGGGGGGGCGGCAUCGGCAUGGCAUAUCUCGCUCGCUCUCGUGUGUCGUGGGUGACCGGAUUCGGAUCGGAGACGUGCCGCCGUUGGAUUGCGUUUGACCGGGUAACCGGCGAUUACUUUCGGGUUUCGGAGGGCGGGUGGGAUAAUGACAGCCAGCCAGGCACAGGCAAAGCAGAGCGCGGCGACAGGCGACAGCCGGAGACCGGACGGAAUACGGUGGCUGGCGCGGGGGUGGGAAAUUACCGCGUUGCCCCUACCCCGGGGAGCAGGCCGGGGCGGCACGCGGCAGGGGCAAGGCGGGGAUUUCGCGUGGGGCGGCGCGGUGUCAGGGGGUGAGCUGGUCGCCGUUGGUCGGUUUGCGUUUCGGGGCCGCCGAAAGAGGGGAGAGGAGAGAGAGAGAAACGCGCCGAGGAUGAUGGGGAAGGGAGAGGAGACUCGCGAACCGAAGACACCGCUGCUCCUCGCUCUGUACUCCAGUCUAGGCUUCUAGCUAGACUCGGCGCGGUGGAGUGGGUGGGUGAAGAGACUGAGGCGCGGGGCCCGCGUGCAAGCAGGCAGGGCGGGCAAUUAUUGUCGCCUCUGGUGCCGUCGCUCGGUACAGAGGACGGACGGACGGACGGCGUGGGCAAAAUUUAAUCGGCGUGCAGCAGGUGCCGGCUGCCGCCUGCAGGCGCCGGUCCUUCGGAUUGAUCGGUGGAUGGAUGCACUCGCCAAUGGCAAUUCAUCCAUCAAACAUCAUUCGUUACUGUAUAUUUUGUGGCAAAUCAAGAUUAGAGGUUCAUCAUCCGUUUACCGUUUUGGUUUGUCCCCUGGCGUCAUCAUCACCGUCUGGGCUUUGGAACUGACAAUAUGGUUCUUUCGGUGAAAUUCAGGUGAAAGUAAAACUCCACCGGUAGAUAGCAGCGGCCAUGGUGCCGUCGUGGGAACAGAGCAGUACGUACGUUACGGGCUCGCGUCAAAUCCUCGACGGAACCGUGCCCGCUGCACCGGUGGGUGAACAGAACACCAUAAAUCCCUCGCGGCCGUGGAGAGAAGUCAGGGGAACCGCGUGUACGUACGUGGUCCUCUCCUGCUAGCUAUAGCUAGGCUGCCCCGUGCGACCGGCGGCGAGGAAACGGCACGCUCGGGAGCCGUCAACAUUGAAUCGGAGGGCCGGGCGGCCGCGAUAGCGUAGCGACCAGCGAGAUACUCAGUCAGUACGGGCUACUUCGGGCUGUCACGCACGCACCGAGCCGGACGGCCGGGCCGACGCGUCGGGCUUGGGAACCACCGGCGCCGCAGGGGCGGGCUCGGACCGCGUCCAACGCCGCAGGCUUUGCAAAGCUUGCGUUGCGUGUACCCCACGCUACCACGCGGGUCCCCUCCACCAAUCAAUUCCAGGCCGGACGGACGGCCGGUACCGUGUACCGACGCGUCGCCCGCCGGAUCUCCGUGGCGUUUUCCUUUGCCUUUAGUUGUGUACCCGCCCCGCUUCACGCCGGCCUUGUGCGGCAGUUGUGUACACACACGCACGCACUUGUACUACUACUGGUGGCCUUGGACUUUGCUGGUUGCUGGUGCGCACCCAGCUUUUUGCGAACGGUUCCGGGAAACGCCGGCGGAAACUUGUGCGGCGGGUCGGUCGGUUGCCGGGGAAGGAAGGAUUCUUCACACAAGCAACGUGAGAUCUGACCAAGGGGAGCAGCAGCCAGCCAGCACGAGCAGCAGUUCGGCGCUGGAGCUACGCGCGAGCUGGGGCAGGAGCUACACGCCAUGUACGUUGCGUCCCCGGGCCGGUUUGAUUUACGACCGGAAGAGCCGCAGCGUUUCCGGCGCGAUGACCGGACAAAUUAGCCGGCUUGGCCGAUGGCUAUACUAUAUCGGAUUGGACAUAUGGAGUGAUAGUGCUCCCGACAGGUAGGAGACGGACGGACGAGAGCGAGUAAACUGCUGCCUGCGACUCUGCGAGUCCUGCCGUGCACGGCUCCAUGGACGGACCGCACGUCCAUGGCCUGUGUAGCUCCGACCGCACCGGACGCAGGCAAGCGGGACGUGCUGUUCAUCCUGCAGACGGGACUGACCCAAGUUAUUGGAGACGCGUCGGCAUUGAAGCCUUUUCCAUUCUCAGGAGCAUGACGUAAUCACGGGAUCACGCACGGCGUGGGCAAAAGAUUACCAGCCGCGCCGCGCGUGCCUGACUGCCUGUGCAGCUGUGCUAUUUUGAGUGCAGAAUACAGUUCUUCAGAACCGCGCCUGUUUUUUGAGGCUAACUGAACAUGCAGUUCCAUACAAUUUCAAAACUCUACGUAUAAUACGGAAGGGUAAAAGAUACUGAGGCGGUCGAGACCACUGUCGCGACACGCGAAGCCUGAAAUCGUAGCGGAUUUACUUUUUCUUUCUCUCGGGGCAACGUCCAGCAACAGCAAGUGACUGCUUGCCGGUUCAUCUGGCCGGACUGAAGGUGCAGAACUAUCUGCUUCCAUGACCAUGUCAUCUUACUGAACUGAUGUUGAUGUUGAUCGAACGGAAACUUGGUAUUAGUGCAAUUUGCAUUUGGUAGACGGGGGGUGGGAUGAAGAAGCUGCAGCGCAUUGGUCAGGGCAGCAGAUGGAAAACGCUGGAGACGGAGGUCAAAGAAGACGCGCGUAAAGGAACCGGUCAGAACAGUGACUUCCUUACUGGAUUUAGGUGACAGGCUGAAAAUUGUUUAUACUUUGGCACGUUGCCUGGGACACAGCAGUGGACAAGUUCGGUUCGGAGAAUUCUAUCCUCCAGUCAUGUUCCUUCUCGGUGAUUAACUAUCAGCUCAUCUGCCAAUCACAUGUUCUGUGGUGACAGCAGCCAGCAAAAAUAACCGAACGGAUUAGUGAUCGCCUAGAUUAUGUAGCUCAAUUUGCAUGCGUAGUUUCAAACGGUAUAAAACGAUGCCUUCGAAGAAAUGGGAGUAGUAAAAAACAUGUGGACUCGAUUUGGGCCGGGCCGCGAUAUCUUCGGUUCUCCACCCUCUUACGCGCAGCGUUUCUUCUCAGUGUCUGCUCAUCACUUGCGUUAGCUUGUAUUGUUUGCCUUCGCUUAAUAUUAGUGCCAUGUUAUCAUGGCUCCAUCGCCCAGUCGAACGCCGGCUAUCAGUUCAAAUUAUGGAUAGUCUAUUGGCUUUGAAUAAUGCGUGUCCUUGCUCUGAUUCCGUUGAGUGUCAUUCCAAGAGUAGGUAUCUAUCAGAAGAAUUUUCAGCAAAUGUCAGUGCUGCUUGAAGUCAACGAGUACUAAUCACAACAUGUGUGAACAUUUGCCAUCCUCCUGCGGUGCACUCUGACCUGCAUUGGAGAGCUGUAUUGCAGCCUGAAGGUCUUCUUCUCUAUUCUACUUCUACAUAUCUACCCACGUGUAUAUGCAGUAUCCUCCGAUGGUUUAGCCCAUGGGCAAUGCAGUUGUCUGCUUCAAUUCUUGGUGUUUCAGAACUAGUAGUACUACUAGAUAUGAUCAGUAUGCUGGGGACAGGACAGUAUGAAUGUACGAUAGAUAAGGUCCUAGAACAUGGGCCACAGGUUAUGCAGAUCGCAGACACGAGUGUUUGGCUGGAACUGAUCUCCGAAUGCGAGACUCCGAGAAACGUUGAUGCCGCUUUCUGUCGAUCACCUUGAGCCAUUGUCCGUCUGCUGGCCUGGCAGGGAAAGUCUACGGAAUGCCAUCUCGAAAGCCAUGGAAAUUCUGUUUUGCCUGACAGAACUCUGGCGUACAUGAGCAACAGCGACCGGAGCGUGGUUUGCCUGCGUGCUUGACUGUAUGGUCACGACGAACACGAGGUGGCGACCAUCCGCCGCGUUAUCCAGGACUGCACCCGUCAGAGAAGGAUCCUUCACUUUUUGGGAAUCCAAUCACUUCGGGAUCCAUCAGAGCAGAAGACACGGCCAUUUCGCCGGCGGCUUUCCCCAUACAGUGCACAUCUCGUGAACUUCCGUCCAUAUUUUCUGGCCAAAUUUGCAAAGGAUUUGUGCUUUUCAGAGUGCAGCAAACGUAGCAAUACCAGGAAACUACGGAGUAGAAUAGGAAGGAACGUACGCCUGUUUGUUCGGGCGGCAAAGUCAGAGCGACACUCUCUCUACUUUGUUUGUUCGUCAGGCCAGGACGCCCGCCAAACCCGACAUGGAUAACUCCAUUAUUGACGAUGGAAAGUAGAAAUCUGACCCCGGGGGCACUAGCAGACGACACUAUCCACAUUGUCUUCACACACCGAGAAUAUGACAAAAUAACAUGCAUUCUUAAUUCACCUAUCGUCCCCAGUACACACCAUCAGAAAACAUCUUCGAUCUUCUAAGGCGUGGAUGCAUUAGGGGUGCGUAUAAAAAUAAUCAUACUCCUUCCGAUACAUAAAAAGUUUCCCACAUUUAGUACAAAAUAUGUACUCCCUCCGUCGAACAAAGGAUGUUUCAACUUUGAUUAAAUUUGAAUGCAUCUAUACACUAAGUCAUGUCUAGAUACAUUUAAAUUUUGACAAACUUGAGACAUCUUUUGUUGGACGGAGGGAGUACUAAUUUUAGUACAAAAUGUGUGACACUUUUUAUGAAUGGGGGGAGUAUCUCCUAGACUCUUUUGAUUCAAAUGAGUUAAUCCUUCAGAAUUUUUUCUAUGUAGGCUUAUUUCAUUCGUAGGAUUAGAUUUUAGUGGAAAUUUGCCUAUGGUUCACUUUGCACUGCAGUGAUGCAAACCAGAUUCCGCGAAAACCCACUUCUAGUUCAUUUUUCAAAUCUUCAAUUCAAAUUUUGAGCAAAAAUUUGGAUAAAAGACUUGAGAAUUGAACUAAAAGUUGACCAUCAAUGGGAUCCCGUUUGCAUCUCUACUGCUCUCAAUUCCAAAGUAAAUUUUCCAUCUAAAUCUAAUCACUUGAAAAAAUUCCUUUGUUUCCAUGAUAACUAUACCAAUGCACGUAAUGUUUUUCUCUGUUUUUCCUCUAAUGCUAGAUUGAGUCUGUUUUUCCUUUAAUGUUUUUCCAACUCGAUUAGUUUAUUCAGGUGGUUUCUUCCUGUAGAAAACAACAUAUCAUGACAUUUCAAUCUUGUGUUUGCUAUUUCAGGGCUCAUUCACUCUACAUGCGUUUUAGAUGAUUUUUCUACAAGAUUUCAACUCUUACACCUUGUUUGGCACAUGUGGGUUUCUUACGUUUUCUAUUUCUACUCUACAAUCUUAAAAUCAUGUUCUCCUUCUGACCUUUGUUCUCAAAUUUAUCUAAAUACGGAUGUAUCUAUGUUUAAAAAAUGUCUAUAUAUAUUUAUAAUAUUUCAGUAACUAAUAUGAAUCGGAGCAACUAACUCGAACGAGCCCUCGGUGUUUGAAUAUUUAAAUACUCCUGAAUGCAAGUAUAGUUCUGCACUCCUACUGCAGCUUGCUACCACGAAACUAAACAUUUCUCUUUCUGCAGCCCCCGACUCGAUCUAGCCGCAGUCCAUGUCGUUCUUUUCGCCCUGGCGUGUGCAAGAGUCGAACCCAUAGUGUGAACAAUUGAGUUAGGCACGAGCCGGAGAGGAGGAGAAAGGACAAAUUAUUGCUCAGAUUAAUCAUCACCUCGAUCGUUGCGGCGCAAUACCGUUAUAUAACGACGGAAUACGGGCCCACACGUCAGUGUAAAGCGAGCUGCUUGCCGCUUUCUCCCUCUUGCGUGACGCCGUCGCCGUCCAGAGCCAUCUGGCCACCGGGCUCCCAGCCCCCCACAGAUGUGCCCCCUGCAUGCGCGCCAUGUAUCAGCCUCUGAUACGUCAGGCCAGGAACCAUCCUCAGCCGUCAGUUCGUCCAUCUCGACGGCUGCGAUCGCGCUGCCGCCACUUAUAAAUAGCACCGAUGCACGCGCGAGAAAGUCCGUUUUACCUUGCUGGGGGGGGGGGGUUUUACUUACAUGAGCGCGGGAAUGGAGGCGGAGCUGGAGGCGGCUCAGCGGCGCUUCCGGCUCUGGUUCCGCGGGCUGCGUUCCCUGCGGCGGGACCUCCGGUCGGCCCGCUGGGCCGGCGACGACCCGGCCCAGCUGGGGAAGCUGGCGGGCGGCUUCGUGGCCCACUUCUCCGACUACUGCGCCGCGCGGGCCGAGCUGGACCCGGUCCUGCUGCUGUCGGCGCCCUGGGCGAGCCCCGCGGAGCGUGGCGCCGCCUACUGGCUGGCCGGGUGGCGGCCGACCACGGUGGUCCACCUGCUGUACACCGAGUCCAGCCGCCGGUUCGAGGCGCAGCUCCCUGACCUGCUCCUGGGCGUGCGGUCGGGCAACCUGGGCGACCUCAGCCCGGCCCAGCUGGCCCAGAUCGACGAGCUCCAGCGCCGCGCCGUCGCCGAGGAAGACGCGCUCUCAAGGGAGAUGGCGCGGCUGCAGGAGGGCCACGGCGUCGUUGGCGGAGACGGGGAUCUGGACGUGGAGGGGAUCGUGAGGCGCGCCGGGGCCGUGGUGGCAGGGGCCGACGCGCUGCGGCUGCGCACCUUGAAGCGCGCCGUGGAGAUCCUCGAGCCGGCGCAGGCCGCCGAGCUGCUCGUCGCCAUGGCCGACAUGGAGAUCGGCUUCCGGGAGUUCGGGCUAAAGCACGGCGACGGCGGUGGCGAGCCGAGCCGCGGCGCGUAGGCAUAGGCGUGGCGCGGUCCAGAGAGCAGAUCCUCAUCCGCAUCGGCGGCUCGGCCCAGUUUUUUUCUUCCAAGUGUUUGCGCUGGUUUGACUGGGACAGAAAGACUGCUCACUGUUGUAAUCUUGUUGCCGUGACGAUUGUCUUUGCCGAACUGUCUCGCGGUGGGUGCUGCGUCGUAGCUGGACCGUGUGCGUGUGCGUGUGCGUGCGCGUGCGCCUGCUGGGAUGUCGUGUGAGAAAGCAAUAAAAUGCAAGGAAUGCAUGCUUGGUUUCGUUGAGAAGUCAUAUUUUGUUUUCGAGCAAGCGGUUUUUUUAACAUCUUUUCCGAUAAAUUGGCUGUUUGUCUGUUCACUACAGAAGACCCGUCCUUUUAAAAACGGUUUUGCUAUUAAUAAAUCCAUGUUUUAGUUAGAGUAGUCAUAGGAUUUUAAUCCAAUGAUAGCAAGUGAGAGAUGAGAGAACGAGGAUGACUCUCAGAUCUCCAGCAGUUAUGAAACGUCGACUGAUAUUUAAGGUUCAUUUUUUAAAAACUUGCGACUUAGAAAUAGCCAUACCCAUUUAAAAAACGUGUUAAAUCUUAUUAAAAUAAGAUUCUGAUCGAUAACUUAUUUUUAAUAGGUAUUGCUACGGAAAAGUUGUUUUUCUAGUUAAAGAUAAGUUGAAACACCAACUGUCAUAUCUUGAUCCAACGGCGGCACAUUGAAGAUGGGGUGUAGCUGCUAGCUUCGGCAUUGAAGAUGGCGUCAUGGUAGGGAGAAGCUAUCAAGUUAUCCGAGAUAGAGGAGGCACUGAUGGAACACAUCCGCUUGCUAGGCUUGUAAUCGGACAAAUAAUUCAAACAGCUUUGCUAUUCAUAAGACAAUUGAGAAAUAAUUAUUUUCAAGCCGACGCUAACAAUCGUUUAAUCCAAUCUCUGAUAUGUGUGAGAUCUAUACAAGUGUUGUUGACUGAAAAUAACUGCUUCCUCCGCGCCUGGAUACUCGUCGUGGUCCGGAAAUCCAACCAGUUGUUCGUUCGAGCCAGAUCCAAACGACACCGGACAGACAACCACGGGCGGUUCUACCGUGCCGCACGGUCACGCGCCCAAUUAACCGGCCACACGGCCAAGCGAAUCCAGGAUUAAAAAUAGGAAUCGCGUACAAUUACCGGCCACCCAGCCAGGCAGCCCGCAACGAUAAACCAGCAGUCUCCCGCUCCAUGUUUGGGAGCCAUGCCCAACUACAAACCCAACGUUUCCAAGCUGGCCGCCGCGCCCCGCGACAUCCACACGGCAGAUUAACCCUUCUUCUCCUUUCCUUCCUUCCUCCCUCUCCGCGCGCGCGCGACCUCCCGCAGACCCGCCUCCGCGAAUCUAGCCACCCCCGCGCGUGCGCCACGCACCGUCCGUCCGUCGGACCUCGGCCGGGCCGGCCCGCGGUCGUCGGCGCGCGGAGGGCGUUCGUGAGAAUGCGUGCGGCGGCGAUUGGUUGCUAGCUAGCUAGCGGCAUGCCUGGCAUGAGCGCGUGAUGGCGCCGCCGUUCCUGAAGACCGGGCACGGCCGCGACAGGUUCUCCUUCAGGCGGCGGAAAUCGUCCUCCUCCUCGUCCUCCUCGUCGACGCCGUCUUCUCCGCUCUCGGUGUCGUCCACAGCGUCGGAGGACAUCGCCGACCCGGGCAGCCCCAUGGAGUCGUCAGCGACGACGGGCAAGACGCUGCCCUGCGCCCGGCGGGCGCUCUCGCGGAGCAGCUGCGGGUCCAGGGGCAAGCUGUCCGUCGACCUGAUCCCGCCGCCGCUCGCCGGCGGCCCGUCCGACGCGCCCAGGUCCUCCACCUCCGCCGCGCCGCCCCCCAAGCCUCCCCCCCGCAACGAGGGCCCGCCUUCAGGUCUCACCAUUGUUAAUUUUCUAGUGUCUGUCUGACUUUCUGUCGUCAAAUGCAGAGAAAUGCCUUGUUAUGUUUUCGUGAUCGAUUGCAUGUAUCCAGAUGCUGACAUCGUGAGGGACAAGUUCUCCAAGCUGCUGCUGGGGGAGGACAUGUCCGGCACCGGCAAAGGGGUGUCCUCUGCCCUCGCUCUCUCCAACGCCAUCACCAAUCUUGCAGGUAAUCUCUCCCUUACCUUCCAUUUCCGAUCUUUCCAUUUCCAAUAACAGUCCCUGUCUUUCAAAUCUUCCCAUUCUGUCCGUUGGGUUCUGAUGGAUACUGACACGAUCAGCUAUGAUUUCUUUCUCAUGACGUGGCACAUUGCAGCUUCCGUGUUCGGUGAGCAGCGGCGUCUCCAGCCGAUGGCCGCAGAGCCGAAGGCCCGAUGGACAAAAGAAAUUGACUGGCUUCUGUCCGUUGCCGACCACAUCGUCGAAUUCGUUCCUUCACGUCAGGUGUCCGAGGAUGGCUCCACCAUGGAGGUCAGAAACAAGAGGAUCCUUGCUUAUCACAAGUACCUGGAUGUAGUUCUGUAUCACGGAACAUCUUUAUGCAAAUCCAAUUACAGCGGUGCUAUUUUUCUCUCUCUCCCCCCAAACAGAUAAUGAUGACUCAGCAGCGUAAGGAUCUGCAGAUGAACAUCCCCGCACUGCGCAAGCUCGACGGGAUGCUCCUUGUAAAGCUCUGCCACAUUCUUCUUUGAAAUCAUUUACGAGAAUGACAUGCGUGGAGAUACCUGAUGAAUUGCUAAUAUGCUAUGGCUGCACAUUUCCUGUUGUGGGGGCACAGAGCUAUCUUGACAGCUUCAGGGACAAGCAGGAGUUUUGGUACGUGUCGAAAGACGCAGAUGACUCGGAGAAGGGAGACGCGCCGAAGCAGGAUGACAAGUGGUGGCUCCCGACUGUCAGGGUCCCUCCUAAUGGUCUGUCGGACUCGUCGAGGAGGUGGCUUCUACACCAGAGGGAGCUCGUCGGCCAAGUCCAUAAGGCAACAAUGGCCAUCAAUGCUAAUGUUCUUAUGGAGAUGGAUGUUCCAGAAGCCUAUAUGGAGUCUCUGCCUAAGGUGACCCAUAUGAACACAGCAACAUUGCAUAACAUUUUUCUUUACUUCGGUUCACUGCAUUUAGAGGGAUCGAGACUCACUUUGACAGCAUCUUCUUUUUUUAUGCUUGAUAGAAUGGAAAGUCUAGCCUUGGAGACUCAAUGUACAAGCUUAUAACUGACGAAUAUUUUGACCCAGAAGAACUCAUAGCAUCAGUAGACUUGUCAGCCGAGUACAGCAUCGUUGAUCUGAAGAACCGAAUCGAAGCCUCGAUUGUCAUUUGGCAGAAGAAAAUGACGCAGAAGGAUGCCAAGAUGUGGGGGCAUGGUGUCAGUCAUGAGAAGCGGGGACGGUUUGAGGGGAGGGCGGAGAAUGUUCUUCUCCUCCUUAAGCACAGAUUCCCCGGAAUUUCUCAGUCAGCUCUGGACAUAAGCAAAAUCCAGUACAACAGGGUACUGGCAACCAUCUUCAAUUUUCCACUGUAUUUUCGGAUUUCCUACAGUACUUUAUUACUCAUGCUCAUUGCAUACAUUUUCUCGUUGUGAUUUUUUUGCAGGAUGUUGGCAGUGCCAUUUUGGAGAGCUACUCCAGGACUCUUGAGAGUCUAGCAUACACGGUUAUGUCUCGCAUCGAAGACGUUCUUCGCGCCGACUCCCUUGCUCAAGACCCCAAGAACGCGGAGGCGACGAGAAUGCCGAGCUUAUCAUCAGAUGACACAGACACGGUCGUCCAAGAUGCCAAGGACGAGGUGGAGAGGCUGGGAAGAAUGGAGCCUCUGAACUCGACACUAUUCGACUACGUGGGCCCACGGGACGGAGAUAUCGGGCCCAUGAUGUCGGAUUCACAGGAACCUCGGGGUGCAAAGCUGUCAAAGGUUUCGUCGAUCGCAACCAAGAGGUUCUCCUACCUAGAUAAGCUUGAGAAUUUGGGUGGAACAAGGAGCCCCAUAUCUAGACACUAGUCGCUGCCGUAGGGGAAAAGACGAUCAAUAUGGUGUUGAUGUUGCUGCAGAGACUCCGGGGAAAACUGCACGUAAAUAGCUCCGCAAAAACUGAGGGUGCAGCAUGCAUUGUGAGGUUUAUGUAAGCUUUCAAGCUUUCAGGCACCAAUACCUCCAAUUUGGUGCAGUUGCCAAGACAAUGUGAUGACGAUUCUCCUGCUAAAUUUACAUGAAAUAACCACAAGAUUCUGACACUGGACCUGAAAAUGGACCUCCAGAUUUUCUUACUGUACUUCUGUAGCAAAGUUUUGUGGUUCCAGUAAAGUGUUUGUUAUCUUAGACUUGACUUGCAGACCAUGCUUGGGUUCGGCUAGUGUUCUCCCCACGUACAAUUUAAGAGGGUAAUAACAUAUCACUGAACUUGGAGAUCGAUCUGUGUUAGCUUCUGGCGUUCUAGAUCGGCACUGUAAUAAGUAACUGUAACUGUACCAUGGCUCUAUGCAUUGGGAAAUUAAAACCACUCGUAUGAGUAAAUCAAUUUACAGGAACAAAUGAGCAGUAAAAAGCAUCCUUCCGGUUGCUGAUAGUACGUGCAGCUAGGCACGCCAUAUGAGUACAUACAACGAAGGACUUAACGUCCAGAUACGCAGAUCCAUGGUACACAAGCACAGGCAUAUGCAGGAACAGAUUCAGAGAGAGAGAGAGAGAGAAAGAAACUGAAACCAAAGCUUUAAUCAAAUCAGAUCAGAUCUUGCCGCGUGGGCCGGGGGUGGGGGGAAGCUGCGGCCCCUUCUUGAUGGGCAGCAGGUCCGGCGACGUGGUGGCGCCGAGGUAGGCGAUCAGGGACCCGCCGCCGAGGAGCAGGAACUUGAGCAGCAGGCCGCGCUUGGUGAAUGGCGCCGCGAAGGUCUGGAAGAACUUGCUCUGCAGCCCGUUGUAAGGGGACGGCGCGUCGGACCCGUACAG